AGGAGGGGGAAAGGCACCAACCAGCAGCCGCUCCAGCCCUGCCGAAGUUUCACUUUUUGUCUGUGGGUCCGCUCCCAGGCCCCGCGCGAGCUUUCCCGGGAUAAGUAGCGAUAGCGAGCAGGGGAGAGCCGGGCGCUGCAAGACACCAGCAUUGCAAUUUGCUGAACCUUGUGUCCACUGACCAUUCCAAGAGCUAGCUAUCUGAGUUACAGAUUCCAACAAUGUCUCACCCAUCUUGGCUGCCACCCAAAAGCACUGGCGAGCCCCUUGGCCAUGUGCCUGCGCGGAUGGAGACCACCCAUUCCUUUGGGACCCCCAGCAUUUCAGUGUCCACACAACAACCACCCAAGAAGUUUGCACCGGUAGUUGCUCCAAAGCCCAAGUACAACCCAUAUAAGCAACCUGGAGGUGAAGGUGACUUUUUUCCACCCCCGCCUCCGCCUUUAGAUGAUCCUGGUGCUCUUCCAUCCAGCCCUGGAAACUUCCCUCCUCCACCACCACUUGAUGAAGGUGCUUUCAGGGCAC
Molecule: non-coding RNA, 525 nt
Organism: Leptonychotes weddellii (Weddell seal)
Lineage: Eukaryota; Metazoa; Chordata; Mammalia; Carnivora; Phocidae
Source: RefSeq, a predicted model, not a curated record